GACGAACGCUGGCGGCGUGCUUAACACAUGCAAGUCGAACGGAAAGGCCCUGCUUUUGUGGGGUGCUCGAGUGGCGAACGGGUGCGUAACACGUGAGUAACCUGCCCUAGACUUUGGGAUAACUUCAGGUAGCUAGGGCUAAUACCGGACAGCAGCUCCUGCUGCAUGGUGGGGGUUGGAAAGUUUCUGCGGUUGGGGAUGGUCUCGCGGGUUAUGAGCUAGUUGGUGGGGUGGUUGAUUACCAAGGCUUUGACGGGUCGCCGGCCUGGGAGGGUGACCAGCCACAAUGGUACUGAGAGACGGCGCAGUGUGCAACGGGGGGCAGCAGUGGCGAAUAUUGCCCAACGGGAGGAAGCCUGAUGCAGCAACGCCGCGUGUGGAAUGACGUCCUUCGGGGUGAAAACCGCUUUAGCCUGUGACGAAGCGUGAGUGACGGUAAUGGGUAAAGAAGCACCGGCUAACUACGUG
Molecule: ribosomal RNA, 468 nt
Filed under: uncultured bacterium
Lineage: Bacteria
Description: partial 16S ribosomal RNA
Rfam family: Bacterial small subunit ribosomal RNA
Source: RNAcentral